UACGGAGGGUGCAAGCGUUAUCCGGAUUCACUGGGUUAAAGGGUGCGUAGGUGGGUCUGUAAGUCAGUGGUGAAAUCUCCAAGCUUAACUUGGAACUGCCGUUGAUACUAUAGACCUUGAAUGCUGUGGAGGUGAGCGGAAUAUGUCAUGUAGCGGUGAAAUGCUUAGAUAUGACAUAGAACACCAAUUGCGAAGGCAGCUCACUACCCAGAUAUUGACACUGAGGCACGAAAGCGUGGGGAUCAAACAGG
Molecule: ribosomal RNA, 251 nt
Filed under: uncultured bacterium
Lineage: Bacteria
Description: partial 16S ribosomal RNA
Rfam family: Bacterial small subunit ribosomal RNA
Source: RNAcentral